UGGGGAAUUUUGGACAAUGGGCGAAAGCCUGAUCCAGCAAUGCCGCGUGUGUGAAGAAGGCCUUCGGGUUGUAAAGCACUUUUGUCCGGAAAGAAAUCCUUGGCUCUAAUACAGUCGGGGGAUGACGGUACCGGAAGAAUAAGCACCGGCUAACUACGUGCCAGCAGCCGCGGUAAUACGUAGGGUGCAAGCGUUAAUCGGAAUUACUGGGCGUAAAGCGUGCGCAGGCGGUUUGCUAAGACCGAUGUGAAAUCCCCGGGCUCAACCUGGGAACUGCAUUGGUGACUGGCAGGCUAGAGUAUGGCAGAGGGGGGUAGAAUUCCACGUGUAGCAGUGAAAUGCAUAGAGAUGUGGAGGAAUACCGAUGGCGAAGGCAGCCCCCUGGGCCAAUACUGACGCUCAUGCACGAAAGCGUGGGGAGCAAACAGGAUUAGAUACCCUGGUAGUCCACGCCCUAAACGAUGUCAACUAGUUGUUGGGGAUUCAUUUCCUUAGUAACGUAGCUAACGCGUGAAGUUGACCGCCUGGGGAGUACGGUCGCAAGAUUAAAACUUAAAUGAAUUGACGGGGUCAUAGCUGUUUCCU
RNAcentral lists this ribosomal RNA (585 nucleotides) under uncultured bacterium. Its description in RNAcentral is "partial 16S ribosomal RNA". It matches the Rfam family "Bacterial small subunit ribosomal RNA", at positions 355 to 1375 of the family's 1533-position model. The record is from RNAcentral.